This 919-nucleotide ribosomal RNA is filed under the name uncultured archaeon. RNAcentral's name for it is "bacterial SSU rRNA". It matches the Rfam family "Archaeal small subunit ribosomal RNA", at positions 1 to 922 of the family's 1478-position model. The record is from RNAcentral.
UUCCGGUUGAUCCUGCCGGAGGUCAUUGCUAUUGGAGUCCGAUUUAGCCAAGCUAGUCGUACGGGUUCAGACCCGUGGCGAAUAGCUCCGUAACACGUGGCCAAUCUACCCUUCGGAGAGCCAUACCCUCGGGAAACUGAGGCUAAUAGCUCAUAGGUGUCCCGAGCUGGAAUGCUGGGACCCCGAAACGCUCCGGCGCCGAAGGAUGAGGCUGCGGCCGAUUAGGUCGACGGUGGGGUAACGGCCCACCGUGCCGAUAAUCGGUACGGGUUGUGAGAGCGAGAGCCCGGAGACGGAAUCUGAGACAAGAUUCCAGGCCCUACGGGGCGCAGCAGGCGCGAAACCUUUACACUGCACGACAGUGCGAUAAGGGGACCCCGAGUGCGAGGGCAUACAGUCCUCGCUUUUGUGUACCGUAGGGAGGUACACGAAUAAGAGCUGGGCAAGACCGGUGCCAGCCGCCGCGGUAAUACCGGCAGCUCAAGUGAUGGCCGCUAUUAUUGGGCCUAAAGCGUCCGUAGCCGGCCGCACAAGUCCGUCGGGAAAUCCACCCGCCUAACGGGUGGGCGUCCGGCGGAAACUGUGCGGCUUGGGACCGGAAGACUCGAGGGGUACGUCCGGGGUAGGAGUGAAAUCCCGUAAUCCUGGACGGACCGCCGGUGGCGAAAGCGCCUCGAGAGGACGGAUCCGACGGUGAGGGACGAAAGCUAGGGUCUCGAACCGGAUUAGAUACCCGGGUAGUCCUAGCCGUAAACGAUGCUCGCUAGGUGUGGCGCAGGCUACGAGCCUGCGCUGUGCCGUAGGGAAGCCGUGAAGCGAGCCGCCUGGGAAGUACGUCCGCAAGGAUGAAACUUAAAGGAAUUGGCGGGGGAGCACUACAACCGGAGGAGCCUGCGGUUUAAUUGGAUUCAACGCCGGA